UGAAAUUUGUGUGAAUCCUUUUGCAACUAAUUGAGCUUUGAAGUGAUCAAUGGAGCUAUCUUCUUUAUAUUUGAUGCGGUAUACCCAUUUUGAGCCAACAACAUUAACACCAGAGGGUCAAGGAACUAACUCCCAUGUCUUAUUUAAAUGAAGUGCUUAAAUUUCUUCUUCCAUAUCAUUGUGCCAACGAGGAUCUUUUAAGGCACUUCAAAA
This 213-nucleotide unclassified non-coding RNA is filed under the name Hevea brasiliensis (rubber tree). Lineage: Eukaryota; Viridiplantae; Streptophyta; Magnoliopsida; Malpighiales; Euphorbiaceae. The record is from RNAcentral.